RNAcentral lists this ribosomal RNA (563 nucleotides) under uncultured bacterium. RNAcentral describes it as "partial 16S ribosomal RNA". It matches the Rfam family "Bacterial small subunit ribosomal RNA", at positions 355 to 906 of the family's 1533-position model. The record is from RNAcentral.
UGGGGAAUAUUGGACAAUGGGGGGAACCCUGAUCCAGCCAUGCCGCGUGUGUGAAGAAGGCCUUUUGGUUGUAAAGCACUUUAAGCGAGGAGGAGGCGCUCUAGGAUAAUACCCUAGAUACGUGGACGUUACUCGCAGAAUAAGCACCGGCUAACUCUGUGCCAGCAGCCGCGGUAAUACAGAGGGUGCGAGCGUUAAUCGGAUUUACUGGGCGUAAAGCGCGCGUAGGUGGCUAAUUAAGUCAAAUGUGAAAUCCCCGAGNUUAACUUGGGAAUUGCAUUCGAUACUGGUUAGCUAGAGUAUGGGAGAGGAUGGUAGAAUUCCAGGUGUAGCGGUGAAAUGCGUAGAGAUCUGGAGGAUUACCGAUGGCGAAGGCAGCCAUCUGGCCUAAUACUGACACUGAGGUGCGAAAGCAUGGGGAGCAAACAGGAUUAGAUACCCUGGUAGUCCAUGCCGUAAACGAUGUCUACUAGCCGUUGGGGCCUUUGAGGCUUUAGUGGCGCAGCUAACGCGAUAAGCAGAGCCGCCUGGGGAAGUACGGUCGCAAGACUAAAAACUCAAAU